Non-coding RNA from Musa acuminata subsp. malaccensis (wild Malaysian banana), 349 nucleotides. Lineage: Eukaryota; Viridiplantae; Streptophyta; Magnoliopsida; Zingiberales; Musaceae. The record is from RefSeq and is a predicted model, not a curated record.
AUUUGCCUUGAAUUUGUGCACUUUUCUAAUCCUGCAGGCAUCAGUUGCAAAUGCACUGCCCGUGGUUGACAUGUGCAGACAGUGGUUGUCAAAGUACAAAUUUGGCGUCUAGCUCCUGGAAGUAAACACAAGGAUGUCAUUAACUUGGUGGAAAAGAUGGUUGCAUGAUCGACAAAUGUUAAGGAAACAAGAAGUUAUUGAAGCACCAUAAUAAAGGAGGGUGGGGCAGACUUUCUGGACCGAGAUUCUAAUCGAGUGUUUAUUUUUGCAGGUUGUAAAUUCUUGUAAGACAUGAAUAGCUGUUGUAAUGGCUAAUGGCUCGUAUCUGUAUCAAUUGCAGGAGGGUGGG